Molecule: long non-coding RNA, 2074 nt
Filed under: Portunus trituberculatus (swimming crab)
Lineage: Eukaryota; Metazoa; Arthropoda; Malacostraca; Decapoda; Portunidae
Description: uncharacterized LOC123505639
Source: RNAcentral
UGCGCUGAAUAGUUUCUCUGUGCCGCGUUUAAGCUACGACUGAAAUAGGAGAUGGGUCUGAGUUUUCCUUCAUUGUCUUCCUGUUGUAAAAUUCCACCAAUACUAAUUUUGGACGUGUCACUUGUUAGAAUAAAGGUCUUAUCAAACCUGGGAAAAGCAAGAGUAGUCAGGAAGCGUUGCUUCUGUCUUAAUGUUAGUAUCACAGAUGUUACCCGUUGUUCUCACUGUAUCUCUUUUAUAAUGUGAAAUAUCCCACACCUGACACCAGAUGUUGUAACUGACCUUUGCUAGCUAGUUACACAUGUGAGCUGUUUACGUUACACUGCUUACCUGUUACCUCAGAUAUGGUUAAAUGGUUAGGCUGGCACUCUGGGGGGUUUGGUGACUACUGCAGACUCAAGCGCCCCCCCCCAUGCCUUUCUUUGAUAAUAUCGGCAUCUGUUAGUUUAAACUGUAGCCUCUUUUUAAUAUUUUCAAAGUAUCCCCCAACUUGUCUGGUUUUAAUGUAUAUUCUAAAGAAGGAAAACAUCUAAGCAUUCUGGCUGUGAAGUUCUUUCCACGUAGCGGCUGAAAUGCCUGGCUCUUACGUGACAGCCCUCCACAAGCUGUGUCAAGGCGGGUGUACAACUCGCGCAGUGUCUCACCUUGCCUCCUGCUUGCCAAAUUUAAAACUACAAUAACAAACAUUUUGAAUUGGUGAAAAACGUUACGAGUUUGAGAAAAAAACAUUGUCAGUUACCAAAAAAAAAAAAAAAAUUAUGAGUCAGAAAGAAUGUUAUGAGUUAGGAAGAAUGUUAUGAGUUAGGAAGGUUGUGAGUUAUGAGAGGAAACAUGCUGAGUUAAAAUAAAAUGUUAUGAGUUGCAGGGAAACAUUUUGUCAGCGAGAAAGAAAUGUUUGUAUAAAAUAAAAGAAUGAAAAAGAGAAUUAUUUCUUUUGUUAUUUAGUGAAAUGCUUUUAUUAUUUUUCUAUUAAUUUUUUGAAGUUAGUGAAGAAAGAUUGUUGUUCCUGUGAGUGUUGGAGAAAAGUAUUUUUGUAACAAUCUCUGGAAAGAAAUAAAAAUAUGUAUAAGGAAUGAAAUAUUGUGGUGCCUUUAUCAGUAUUAAGAAAAAUAAAAAAUAAAAAUUAGAAGCUUGAUUUAAUAACACAAAAUAAAAAAUAAAUAAAGAAAUCAAUAAACAAAUGAAAAAUGAACACAAUAAAAAAAAAAAAAAAAUAAAUAAAUAAAUGAAUUAAUAAAUAUAUACAUGCAAAUAUUCAUCAAUAUUUUCCUUAAACCAAAACAAUAUAUGUGAUACACUCAAAAGCUCUAUUUUGUAAAGCUCUAUUUAGAAAAGCUCUAUUUUGUAAAGGUCUAUUUUGAAAAGGUCUAUUUUGUAAAGGUCUAUUUUGAAAAGCUCUAUUUUGAAAAAGGUCUAUUUUAAAAAAGUCUAUUUUGAAAAGCUCUAUUUUGAAAAAGUCUAUUUUGAAAAGGUCUAUUUUGAAAAGGUCUAUUUUGAAAAGAUGUAUUUUGAAAAGGUCUAUUUUGAAAAAGUCUAUUUUGAAAAGCUCUAUUUUGUAAAGGUCUAUUUUGAAAAGGUGUAUUUUGAAAAGGUCUAUUUUGUAAAGGUGUAUUUUGAAAAGGUGUAUUUUGAAAAGGUCUAUUUUGAAAAGGUCUAUUUAGAAAAGGUCUAUUUAGAAAAGAUGUAUUUUGAAAAGCUCUAUUUUGAAAAGCUCUAUUUUGAAAAGCUCUAUUUUGAAAAGCUCUAUUUUGUAAAGGUCUAUUUUGAAAAGGUCUAUUUUGAAAAGCUCUAUUUUGAAAACCUCUAUUUUGAAAAGGUGUAUUUUGAAAAGGUCUAUUUUGAGAGGGCGUAUUUAAAGGUGUAUUUUGAAAAGGUGUAUUUUGAGAUGUCUAUUUGAGAUGACUUAAAAACUAUUGUACUUUAAAACAAACAACUAAGAGCAUAACAAAUAUUAGACAUGUUUUUGUAAAGCUGUAAUAUAACAAGGAAAAAAGUGUAUCUACAGAGAGUGUACUUGUGAUCAAUGCCAGAAUGGUGUAGUGUGUAUUUGUUAUCAAUAAAGUCAAUAAACCUC